RNAcentral lists this ribosomal RNA (1244 nucleotides) under Curtobacterium flaccumfaciens. RNAcentral describes it as "bacterial SSU rRNA". It matches the Rfam family "Bacterial small subunit ribosomal RNA", at positions 75 to 1332 of the family's 1533-position model. Lineage: Bacteria; Bacillati; Actinomycetota; Actinomycetes; Micrococcales; Microbacteriaceae. The record is from RNAcentral.
CCAGCUUGCUGGGUGGAUUAGUGGCGAACGGGUGAGUAACACGUGAGUAACCUGCCCCUGACUCUGGGAUAAGCGUUGGAAACGACGUCUAAUACUGGAUAUGAUCACUGGCCGCAUGGUCUGGUGGUGGAAAGAUUUUUUGGUUGGGGAUGGACUCGCGGCCUAUCAGCUUGUUGGUGAGGUAAUGGCUCACCAAGGCGACGACGGGUAGCCGGCCUGAGAGGGUGACCGGCCACACUGGGACUGAGACACGGCCCAGACUCCUACGGGAGGCAGCAGUGGGGAAUAUUGCACAAUGGGCGAAAGCCUGAUGCAGCAACGCCGCGUGAGGGAUGACGGCCUUCGGGUUGUAAACCUCUUUUAGUAGGGAAGAAGCGAAAGUGACGGUACCUGCAGAAAAAGCACCGGCUAACUACGUGCCAGCAGCCGCGGUAAUACGUAGGGUGCAAGCGUUGUCCGGAAUUAUUGGGCGUAAAGAGCUCGUAGGCGGUUUGUCGCGUCUGCUGUGAAAUCCCGAGGCUCAACCUCGGGCUUGCAGUGGGUACGGGCAGACUAGAGUGCGGUAGGGGAGAUUGGAAUUCCUGGUGUAGCGGUGGAAUGCGCAGAUAUCAGGAGGAACACCGAUGGCGAAGGCAGAUCUCUGGGCCGUAACUGACGCUGAGGAGCGAAAGCAUGGGGAGCGAACAGGAUUAGAUACCCUGGUAGUCCAUGCCGUAAACGUUGGGCGCUAGAUGUAGGGACCUUUCCACGGUUUCUGUGUCGUAGCUAACGCAUUAAGCGCCCCGCCUGGGGAGUACGGCCGCAAGGCUAAAACUCAAAGGAAUUGACGGGGGCCCGCACAAGCGGCGGAGCAUGCGGAUUAAUUCGAUGCAACGCGAAGAACCUUACCAAGGCUUGACAUACACCGGAAACGGCCAGAGAUGGUCGCCCCCUUGUGGUCGGUGUACAGGUGGUGCAUGGUUGUCGUCAGCUCGUGUCGUGAGAUGUUGGGUUAAGUCCCGCAACGAGCGCAACCCUCGUUCUAUGUUGCCAGCGGGUUAUGCCGGGGACUCAUAGGAGACUGCCGGGGUCAACUCGGAGGAAGGUGGGGAUGACGUCAAAUCAUCAUGCCCCUUAUGUCUUGGGCUUCACGCAUGCUACAAUGGCCGGUACAAAGGGCUGCGAUACCGUAAGGUGGAGCGAAUCCCAAAAAGCCGGUCUCAGUUCGGAUUGAGGUCUGCAACUCGACCUCAUGAAGUCGGAGU